RNAcentral lists this ribosomal RNA (253 nucleotides) under uncultured bacterium. Its description in RNAcentral is "partial 16S ribosomal RNA". It matches the Rfam family "Bacterial small subunit ribosomal RNA", at positions 524 to 776 of the family's 1533-position model. The record is from RNAcentral.
UACGUAGGGGGCAAGCGUUGUCCGGAAUCAUUGGGCGUAAAGCGCGUGUAGGCGGUUCGGUAAGUCUGUUGUGAAAGCCCCGGGCUCAACCUGGGAAUGGCAAUGGAUACUGGCAAGCUAGAGUGCGGUAGAGGGUAGUGGAAUUCCCGGUGUAGCGGUGAAAUGCGUAGAGAUCGGGAGGAACACCAGUGGCGAAGGCGGCUACCUGGACCAGCACUGACACUGAGGCACGAAAGCGUGGGGAGCAAACAGG